CCAGGUGGCCCGAUGGCGGAGGGGAAACACCCGGAACCAUUCCGAACCCGGCAGUUAAGCCCUCCUGCGCCGAUGGUAGUGGUCUUGUAAGGGACCGCAAGAGUAGGUCGCUGCCUGGA
RNAcentral lists this ribosomal RNA (119 nucleotides) under Candidatus Fraserbacteria bacterium RBG_16_55_9. Lineage: Bacteria; Candidatus Fraseribacteriota. The record is from RNAcentral.